RNAcentral lists this ribosomal RNA (406 nucleotides) under uncultured bacterium. Its description in RNAcentral is "partial 16S ribosomal RNA". It matches the Rfam family "Bacterial small subunit ribosomal RNA", at positions 30 to 526 of the family's 1533-position model. The record is from RNAcentral.
AUUGAACGCUGGCGGCAGGCCUAACACAUGCAAGUCGAGCGAGCGGCGGACGGGUGAGUAAUGUCUGGGAAAAUGCCUGAUGGAGGGGGAUAACUACUGGAAACGGUAGCUAAUACCGCAUACCAUCAGAUGUGCCCAGAGGGGAUUAGCUAGUAGGGGGGGUAAUGGCUCACCUAGGCGACGAUCCCUAGCUGGUCUGAGAGGAUGACCAGCCACACUGGAACUGAGACACGGUCCAGACUCCGUCGGGAGGCAGCAGUGGGGAAUAUUGCACAAUGGGCGCAAGCCUGAUGCAGCCAUGCCGCGUGUGUGAAGAAGGCCUUCGGGUUGUAAAGCACUUUCAGCGGGGAGGCGUUACCCGCAGAAGAAGCACCGGCUAACUCCGUGCCAGCCGCCGCGGUAAUUC